Molecule: ribosomal RNA, 505 nt
Filed under: uncultured bacterium
Lineage: Bacteria
Description: bacterial SSU rRNA
Rfam family: Bacterial small subunit ribosomal RNA
Source: RNAcentral
AAAGGAAUUGACGGGACCCCGCACAAGCAGCGGCGCAUGUGGUUUAAUUCGAUGCUACACGAAGAACCUUACCUGGGCUUGACAUGUAUGUGAAAAAAGAUAGAAAUAUCUUUCCUCUAAGGUUUUACCUUAGACACAUACACAGGUGCUGCAUGGUUGUCGUCAGCUCGUGUCGUGAGAUGUAAGGUUAAGUCCUUGAACGAGCGCAACCCCUGCCCUUAGUUGCUAACAGGUAAUGCUGAGGACACUAAGGGGACUGCCGUCGACAAGACGGAGGAAGGUGGGGAUGACGUCAAAUCCUCAUGGCCUUUAUGUCCAGGGCCACACACAUGCGACAAUGGUGAGGACAAUGGGAUGCAAAAGGGUAACCUAGAGCAAAUCCUCAAAACUCACCCCAGUACCGAUUGAGGACUGCAACUCGUCCUCAUGAAGCUGGAGUUGCUAGUAACUGUGAGUCAGCUAUAUCACAGUGAAUACGUUCCCGGGGUUUGUACACACCGCCCGU